UUUGAGGGAAGAUGCGUGGCAAGGCAGGCUCUACUCGUGGCAGACGGUACUUCCCUGGAGUUCCUCUUUAACAUACAAUCCAGGGUGCAAUGCAGUCUCCGGGUGCAACGGUUGUACGACAAUUGCCAGCUGAUUGCGAUCUUUCACCCGAGGGAGAGAGAGAGAAAAAAAAAAUUAGCGACGCAGCCCGCAAUCAGCGUGUCUCAGAAGCGGCCGUCGCGGCCAGGUCUGCUGUAUCGACCUAAUACUCGGUGCUUCACCGGCACCUCGUAAAAUACGACGUUCGAUAAAAUUUCCCUUGAACAGCUUCGAAAUUUAUUCGGGCUCGGAGGCUCGAGCCUCGUGACGAGCAAUUAAACGCAAAAACGAGAGAGGAUUCCCUCCAGUCGAGGGGGGGAUGAUGGGAUCGCCGAACAAGAUCGAUGAAAGUUACUUGUCUUUCAGCUAGAGUGUAUCAGUUUCAACGCUGGAAAAUCUGUACGCGAAACAGGAUCCACCGGCUCGAACCUGGGUCACUGGAAUUCGAACUCCAACAAUCCCGAACAUGCAAAUUACCGUUCGAGCGAGGUUGCAAGAUUGGAAGCUGAAAAACUUUGAAGAAAUUUUACUGGUGUCUGGUAUCUUCAGGAAUGCAAGGAGAAAGGAUUUAAAAAAAAGGAAGCCCCAUGGGCAAUAAGCAUUGUUUCCUAUGGAAGGCUAUUUACCGCGAGGCAAGAAAUUUAAUACAACUCGUUGGAGCUGUUGAAACCGAGGUAGCUCGGUGCAUACGCUCCUCUGUCACUGUCGUCGACGCGACGAGGAGAGGAAAGCGGAGGAGAAAAAUUUCGACGUCUGCGUGCGAGGGUUCGACAGCCUGAGAACGAGCAGAAGGAGCCAGGACUCGUCGCACACUGGCACAGAAUCAAUUUUCCAUGGCGAAUCUAUAUUUUAGUUUUCACCAAGAGUUACCGGCACCUUUUUUCUUCCACGGAAUGAAACUAUGCGGAGGAGAGGCGAUAAAAAAUCCAUUCAUGAAUUGAAAUAACCUGUUGCAUUAAUUAAAAAAGGAGAUCCAAAAAAAUAUUCAACCAGUUGAAACAGGGUUAGAAUCAAUAAACUCAUUGAGCUUUCAAAGGUGUGUCAGCAACGGUACCCGGUUCGAAGAAAUCAUCGAAAGCCAUAGCGAGAGAAAAAGAAGUGGAAAAAUCGACUUUGGUCCGGUAGAAAAAUUGAUUCAGCGUCGUCUGGAGGAGCCCGAGGGCCGUGGCGAGUACGCGAAAAGAAGAGCCCGCGGGGGCGCGUGUGCGCACUACCCUCGACCAACAUGUCCGCCCGGCUGCUCCGGGUAGUCGUGGUUAUGCGGCGCGGUGCGUUGCACACCGUGGUCACGCGAAUGCUCGGUUACCGUGUUACGUUGUACCCCGGGACGCGUGUCACGUCGUGGCUGGCUCGGUCCAGUCGUUGAGGGAUCGUUUACCGAGGCUCCCCUUGUACCGAUACCAGGGCUCAUCUGGUGUCUCGCGUUCGGCCAAGUGCACGAGGCGGCACAGCCUCUGGAGAGACUGGAACUACGACGGAUAGGGACGUACAGAGUGGCCGUGGGAGUGCGGUACCGCGGGAGAGACAGAGACAGGACGGAGGAGUAGUGAGCGUGCGGGACAGAGAGGGAGAAGCUUGAGGCAGGCGCGCGUAUUGAUUCCCGCGUGGCGUUAUACGGUGAGGUGAGAAAGCUGCAACCGGAAGACUCCGUGGCCGCUUCCUUCUUGGCCGCUGAAAAAUCCUACGAGACAACCUCGGCCAACGCGAGGAACGGAUUACACCGGGACUACUGGGCCGCCUCCGUCCGUUCGCCGGUGAAAGGAGAGUGGGGAGAGGGUGAUCCGUGAACCAGAAUGAGAGAAGCCAUCGAGAUCAGCUCGAGCAGGGACCCGUCGGCCCUUCGCACGAGAAAUGAUUUUUAGAAGGAAGAGGGCAUGACGCACCGAACUCAUGCAGUGGCGAAAACACGUGCGCAUCAAGUACGGUGGUCGAGUCGGUGUCGGUCAAGGGCAGCGGGAGCGGGAGCAGGUGCAGCUGCAGGUGCGCGUGGUGCAGCUGCAGCGGGAAGGGGGCGCACGACUCAGCUACGUCUGUCAUCAGCCUCAACUCUCGUCGACGGCUCGCCGUGGUUGCAGUGCAGCAACCAUGCUCUGCUGCGGCCGCAGAAAAGAGGGCCGGGGGGAAGUGACAGACAUCAGCGCAAGUCCUGGAAGGCAAGCACCUGCCAACCAGUUGCGCCCCAAGGAGCCACCCCCCAUGGUUAUUCAGGGAGACUUCAGGAAGGACCUGUCGUUGCAGGUGAGCGGGAUCAGUACGGAGAUCUUCAAGCAGAUCGAGACCGUCGAAAACGAUCAUGACGCCUCGACAGCAGCGGCCCUUGAAGCUGUCGAACGAAGGGGCGAGAUGGUCGUCCGGGUCAUCGAGCCACGGCAAAUGGGCAGACAGGCGUCCGAGGCAGCGAAGAAGUUCAUUGCGAUGCAGGAUCCGAAGCACCCCAUCCACUUCGUUGAAAUAAUUAAAAGGCCAGGGCAAACGCUGGGGCUCUACAUACGCGAAGGGAACGGGGUCGACAGGAACGAUGGCGUCUUUAUCUCGAGGAUAGCCCUGGAGACCGCUGUCUACAACAGCGGUUGCCUUAAGGUUGGGGACGAGAUCCUUGCGGUGAAUCUGGUAGAUGUGACUCACAUGAGCUUGGACGACGUGGUGAUCAUCAUGUCGAUACCCAGGAGGCUCGUUCUGGCGACGAGGCACGGCCAGCAUCAGCCGGUGUCCCACAGCCGUCAGGCCGAGCACAAAGCACCGCCGGUCGUAGUGAUCAAAAGGGAGCUGAACGAGGACGAGAGUGAUCAUGCAACGAGCAAUCACGUCAGGGAUGGUAAUCGUAGACGCGGUGACGGUCGUGAAAUGCUGCCUUCCCGGUCGAGACUGGGUCUAACGGGCCUAGGUUCCAGUCAGGAUCUAGGAUCUAGCAACGGUGACCUAUACUAUAAUUCCAGACCGGAAGGACACUGGUCCUACCAACCACCGCCGCCUCCUGUGAUCACACAUCAGCCAAAACCCUCUACAACUCAACAUUUCCAGCCCUAUGAGCGUGGAUAUCCAAAGACCUUGGAGAGUUUGGCUGAAAAAGAUUUCACAAAGGUACACUCCUUCUACACGGGGCCAGUAAUGCCCUCGAACGGUGGCCGUCGAAUGUCCACGGGCGCAGGAAUGCAGUCGGUUGGCAGUAGAUUGUCCAGUCAAACCCAGUCGUCGCAUUAUGGUAGUUACGGUCAGCACACAGGCAGUGGAAGAAUAAUGCCUAGAAGCGGUUCGGAUCAGCAUUUGCCUCGAGUCGACUACACCAGCAUCACUACACCUGCUCGACACACUCUUCUUAGAUCCAGCUUGAAGUCGGGAACAUCAGCGUUGAGAUACAACACCAGAUAUGGCACCCAAGGGGACAGUACAACGUCGGCCCAAAGGCAAGGUCAGUUUGGCACCCUGACAAGGAGGCACCGACCCUCGUUGGACUACGCGUCCGACACCGAGGCAACGUGUUCCAGUUCGCCGAAGUCUGCGUACUAUUACUACAGGCACAACAUGAAUAAUCCAUCUCAGAGCAGUGCUGUGUCGCACCUUGCCACCCUCUCCAGGUCGCAAAUUGGUCAGAGUUCCUCCGGUCUGAGAUCAAAUUCGUUGCCUCGCAGUGGCAGAACGUUGCCUCAGCAACCUGGUCUUAGAUCUGGACUUAGUACGGUAGCAUCAGGACUGAUAGAUCAGGAAGACAGCGAUGGAGCACUGUCAGCACCUGAAUUACCUUCCAUCAGACGUGACAGAGGAAGAAUACCGUCAUCACCCAGUGUGUUCACGUCGGACGAAUACAGAGCAUGGCUGAGUAGAACGCCAAGCACCAGUGCGUUGUACGAACAGAUCAGAGCUACUACGGCUAGACCACCGCGUUACACUUAUAGCGCAGAAAAUAUUCAUGCAGCUGCGAAUCAAGGUGAAUAUGGAAGUUACGGCGGGUACAGGCCACUCUCCAGCACGCUCGAUCGUCUCUCGACGAGGUCAGCCUCGGCUCAACAAGUGAACCUAGCCAAUCUGAGAGCAUCGACAGCGAUCAGUUCAACGUGCCAUCGUGGAACGACGAAUCCAAGACCGGCCUCGGUUGCGUCGAGUGCUCGUACAUCGUUGACGAGUCAAAAGCCAUCGUUGAGUAGCUCAGCCACCCAGAGGGCGACCUCGGUUAGGAGAAUCAGGAACUUACUGGACCUAGAGUCCACGAGAAGCAUACCCACCCCAACGCCUACCAGAACUCAGGAUCAAAGACUGCUAGAUAUUAAUCCUGCAGAGUUCCUCAAAUAUAAAAUAGAAAAACCGCCAACUGUAGGGACUCCGAGCUCGACCAGCUCUCUCUUGAGUUCCCUCGGGGAAACGAGUAGCGGUGACCUGGCUGGUGGUAUCAGUGGAUUGCUAUGGGUCCAUCUUCUGGCUGGACGUGGUCUUCGUUCGACGACGUCCUCUUCGGCAGCUACCACGCCCUCGACACCAUCAGGUCAGCCUAAUUUAGCUAGCUGUGGCUUAAGAGACUUGUAUUGCGUGCUGGAGUGCGACAGGGUGCACAAAGCAAGAACAGUGGUGCGAACCGGUGACCUGAUGUUCGACUGGGACGAGACCUUCGAGCUGGACCUCGUUGGCAACCGGCAACUGGACCUGCUCGUCUAUUCCUGGGAUCCUCAGUACAGGCAUAAACUUUGUUACAAGGGCUCGGUGCAUCUAGCGAGCCUCCUGAAGGAAUCGCCUCUUCAACAGCUGGCUGUCAAGGUCGAGCCACGUGGCACGAUCUACUUAAGACUGCGAUACAUUGAUGCUCAGCAAACGUUCCGAAGGAGAGGACUUCCAGUCAUAUCUUUGGCCACCAGAGUUGCACCUCUCUUUGGAGUUGAUCUUGACACAGUGGUGAGCCGAGAGAGUAAAACUGGCGGAGUUCCUGGAGGUGUUUCCACCGCCCUAGCGAUGGGUGUUCCAAAUGUACCUAUAAUUGUCUGGCGCUGCGUCGAGGAAGUUGAAAGAAGAGGUCUCGAUAUCAUCGGUUUGUACAGGCUUUGUGGAUCAGCGACCAAGAAGAGGAUACUUAGAGAAGCCUUUGAAAGGAAUGCUCGUUCAGUGAAUCUGUCACCUGAUAAUGUACCAGAUAUCAACGUUAUUACUGGUGUGCUGAAGGAUUACCUGCGAGAACUUCCAGAACCACUUUUCACAAAGUGCCUCUACCAAAUGAUGGUCGAUGCACUGGCCGUCUGUUUACCAGAUGAUCCACAAGGCAGCGCCAAACUCAUGUUCAGUAUACUCGACUGUUUGCCAAAAGUGAACAGGUGCACAUUAAUUUACUUGUUGGACCACUUGGCAAUGGUGGUGUCGCAGUGCAACAAAAUGUCACCAGCAAGUCUGGCAGUCUGUUUCGGGCCAGUUUUGAUGUUACAUUCCGAGGAGAAUGGGCCACCGUUAGACUUCCAACAGCCAAUAGCUGUACUCAAGUAUCUCCUUGAAAUAUGGCCCGUUAAGUCAGUUCGGAAGAUUUCUUCAGUCGCUUCAGCGCUUCCUCGAGUUACGCAACAAGCAGAGCACAACAACAGUCAACACCAAAUGCAGCAGCAUCAGCAGCAGCAACAGCAGCAGCAACAGGUGCCGCAUCAAAUGCAGGGAACAUUGGGACGAACAGGGCUGCCCUGGCAGCAGCAACACUCACUUCAUCAACAGCCCCCAACUUCAACAGCCGCGGUUCUCGCGGCCUCCACUCGUCCUCCACCACCGGUCAAGCCUCGACAGGUGAUAGUCUCGUCUCCCGGUUCACCUAGCAGCGAGGAGUCGGAAGCCUCGCCGGAGCCAAUUAACAAGAGCCUCAUGGGUGGCCUGGGACUCGAGAAAGGCAACGAAGGGGUCACGACCAACUCGGCUGGCCCUGGAACAGAACAAAUCACUCCGUCAAGCAGCGUCGACACCGAGGAGGGAAAUACACCGCAUCAGGAAGAAGGCGAGAAAGGCGUGGAGGGCGACGCUGAAGCCAGCGACGACGAUCGACACCAGCACGUACCCAAGACGCAUUAGAAUCUUCUUCAAAUACACGAGGAUCAAGUCGGGGGUGCGCGUCCUGAAUAGUUUGAAUGUCUCGCUUUCCAUUCAUCGUUUGAACAACCUUUCGAUACUUUUCAAGGGUCAAACUUCGUUUUAGAGGAGCAAAAAUUAACGGUUCCAAAAUAUGUAGUCUUGUAGUUUUUGACCUGAAACAUUCAAAAAUGCAAGUUAAACAUGGUUUUAAAAAUACAAUUGUGGAAAAAUGUACGUAUUUAGUGAUGUUUGACAGGUCAGUACGACGCCAUAUUGUUUCUACGCAUUCUCUGAUUGGUUCGCUGAAAUGACUAACUUCCGCUUACUUUAUUUAAAAACAUAUUUCUUCUUGAUUGCUGCUAUCAAAAAAACCCAUAAGAUGUGUUUCGUUAAUUUUACGAAACCUACGCCACAAAAAUUCACAUAGGCGAUCGGCAAAGUCUUCGUCGUGAAAGCGACUCCGAAUUUCGAUUUCGAAUUUAUGCGCGAACCAAUCUGAAGAUCGCUAGAAGCAAUAUGGCGUCGUACUAACCUGUCAAAGUACGCGAAAUACACUUUUCACACAAUUGUAUUUUUUAAACAAUUGGUUUCCUGGACUUUUAACUUGCAUUUUCGAAUGUUUCAGGUCGAAAACUAUAUUUGAUACUUUCAUGUGUACCGAAGAAGAUUUGAUACUUUUUAUUCAACAAUUUUUGGUUCCCUAAGACGAAGUGCAGCCUUUCCUAUGAUUGAUGCUUCAGUUUUGCCCAACGCUGAUGACACUGAAUACAGACACGUUUUACACGAUUAUUAAUGAGAAUUUGAAGCUUGUUAAAAUAGGAGAGGAUUUUGUUAUUCGCAAAUGAUUCAAGGAAGGAAGAAUGAACGUAAGUUCUUAAAACAUUGUUCACCGAUCAGAACUGUGUUGAUUUUCAAUUCUACUUUUCAAAUUUACAACAACAAAGCUUUUCUUUGUUUUGAACAAAUCCUUGAAUGGUGAACAAAUGCGUUAAGAAUUUCUCUUUCAUUUUAAUUCAACAUUCUUGUGGUGUGUUGACAAAAGCUAAAGACAAGAAGAGAUGUUCUUCUUUUUGAUUUUCCAAAGAUAUUUAAACGCGUUGACUGCAAUGAUUUGGAAGUUUAAUACAUGCUGUUCUUGGAACAGCAAACUAUACCAAAGACUUAAGUCUGAUAUAUACUAUAUUCAACAUUAUCGAGUCAAGUGAUUUCUUCUUUGAGAAUAUUAGUGCAUUGUUGGCUGUGUUAGGGAAUUUUCUUUGUUGUACGAUGUGUUGUGUUUGGAAAUAUUUAUACGUGUUUUUUCUGGCAGUCAGCGCAUCAAGUUACAUGUAUGCUCUUCUAAAAGGAUACGUUCAAACGAUAACGAACGUGCAACUAUGAUAAAUCAAGGCUGAAUUUUGUCGCCAGACGCACAAUAAAAGCGACCAUUGUUUUCCAAACGUGGAACGAUACGCAUAAUGGGACCACUGCGAAUAUUCGUUAAAAAAUCUUCGCGAUUAAAGAAUAUCUAACGCUGAAAUUGACGAUCUGACGACCGACUGGAAGCCUUUUACAUGUUCUUCAUAAAAAUUCAUUUGAUAAUCAUUCAACGGUGAGAUAUCUGUCGAGUAACACACCAAAGAAAACUGCUAACUAACGUUACAGUGAUGUUCAUGGAAGGAUUUCACUCUUUGGCUGCAAAGUACGUUGUCUUUUCACAGUUAUCAUAACUGUAAUCGAUGAACAGGUUCCUAAUUUAUAAAAGUUUGCACAAAAUUCCAUUAUUAUAUAUAUGAAUCUUCUUUCGAAGAAGAAAAACUGAGUUACUGCUCUAAAAGAGAACACAAUUCUUUCUUUCCACAGCUGAAGAGUUCGUUAUCCCGCCAAAGCUUCUCUCAGAAGACCAGCAUUGAUUGGAGUGAUACGAUUGAAGAGCAGAAACUGAAGAAACAGAAAGGAACGUACAGGGA
This is an RNA transcript of Osmia bicornis bicornis, 8054 nucleotides long. It is a transcript of the gene named rho GTPase-activating protein 100F, with no coding region annotated. The transcript has 26 exons. The record is from RefSeq and is a predicted model, not a curated record. Lineage: Eukaryota; Metazoa; Arthropoda; Insecta; Hymenoptera; Megachilidae.